This 1167-nucleotide long non-coding RNA is filed under the name Taeniopygia guttata (zebra finch). Its description in RNAcentral is "lncRNA (ENSTGUG00000028754.1)". The stretch from base 309 to 389 matches the Rfam family "mir-219 microRNA precursor family". Lineage: Eukaryota; Metazoa; Chordata; Aves; Passeriformes; Estrildidae. The record is from RNAcentral.
GUAGGGCUGCUUUUAAAUUUUUUCUUUUUUAUUUAUUUUCUUUUUUUUUUUUUUUUUUUUUUUUUUUUUUUGAGGGAUAAGAAAUUAGUAGAUAAAAUUAAACUCCUCGCGGUGCCAUUAAAUGGAACCCGGGAUGCGAAACGCCGCGGCUUGCGCUCGAAAACUUUGUCGGGGCUGAGCAGCGGCUCGGCGGGGCCGGGAAGCGGGAGCGGAGGGCGGCGGGAGCCGGCUCAGGGCCCAUGUGUCCUUCUUUUCCAGGCUCCAGCCGGAUUCCCCCUGGAAGAUCCCGCGAGCCCGGGAUGGGAAUCUCCGCUCCUGAUUGUCCAAACGCAAUUCUUGUGCGAUGGAGCCGUACGAACCAAGAAUUGUGUCUGGACAUCUGUAGCAAGAGGUUUCACCUCCUCCGGCGGGGCUCCAGGGACGGUUCUCGGGGCACAGGACGGAGUACGGACCUUCCCGGGCCGGGGCACGGCAGGUAACCGCUCCCGGCCGCGUCCCGGGGGUCGGGGCCAGGAUUUCAGGGACACUAAGGAAGCACCAGCGGCGGCUCCGCUCUGCUCGGCGCGGCCGAGGGUGCUCGGUUUUAAUGCGUCAAACACCGGCGGGAUCAUCACCGGGACGGGCAGCCCCGACCGGGCAGCCCCAGGCAGGGACGGCGGGGCCGAGCCUCGGGCACCGGCGCUUUGCCGGGGCCGGUGGGGCCGCAGACCGGCGUGGCGGGCGGGCACUUCGGCCCUGCGGCUCCAUCCCGGUUUAUCCUUCUUAUUUUUAUUUAUUUACCUAUUUUAUCAUUGCGGCUUAAUUCCAUUUAAUCUGCUUCGGCCCCCUGCGCCGGGACACUCUCUGGUGCUCUUGCCGCAGCCCCCGCUGGCCCCGGGCACGCCGAGGCCGCUCCGGCCGUGCGGUGCCUCCGCCGGGCCGAGAAGCGGCCCCGCCGCUCGGGCACCGGUCCGGGCCGCGGGCACGGCCCCCGCCGCCGGGCAGGGCUCGGGCAGCCCCCGGAGCGGAGCAGCCUCCGCGGAACGGCGGCCGGAGCAAGGCUCGCUCGAACAGAGAGGCUUUAUGAAUCCACCAGCCAAACGGCUCGGCCGGGGCUGCCAAGGAAACCAGGAGGAGGAGGGAAGCACUACAAGAUCCGAGCAGAAUUUCACCAAAGAGCCUAUCUAG